RNAcentral lists this transfer RNA (38 nucleotides) under Poa pratensis (Kentucky bluegrass). RNAcentral describes it as "partial tRNA-Phe". The record is from RNAcentral. Lineage: Eukaryota; Viridiplantae; Streptophyta; Magnoliopsida; Poales; Poaceae. RNAcentral also lists the same sequence under 4 other names.
GUCAGGAUAGCUCAGUUGGUAGAGCAGAGGACUGAAAA